AAGGCCGAGAACUGAUGACGAGUGUUCUUUUAGAACACGAAGUGGUUGAUGCCAUGCUUCCAGGAAAAGCCUCUAAGCUUCAGGUAACUAGAAAUCGUACCCCAAACCGACACAGGUGGUCAGGUAGAGAAUACCAAGGCGCUUGAGAGAACUCGGGUGAAGGAACUAGGCAAAAUGGCACCGUAACUUCGGGAGAAGGUGCGCCGGCUAGGGUGAAGGACUUGCUCCGUAAGCUCUGGCUGGUCGAAGAUACCAGGCCGCUGCAACUGUUUAUUAAAAACAUAGCACUCUGCAAACACGAAAGUGGACGUAUAGGGUGUGACGCCUGCCCGGUGCCGGAAGGUUAAUUGAUGGGGUUAGCUUCGGCGAAGCUCUUGAUCGAAGCCCCGGUAAACGGCGGCCGUAACUAUAACGGUCCUAAGGUAGCGAAAUUCCUUGUCGGGUAAGUUCCGACCUGCACGAAUGGCGUAAUGAUGGCGGCGCUGUCUCCACCCGAGACUCAGUGAAAUUGAAAUCGCUGUGAAGAUGCAGUGUAUCCGCGGCUAGACGGAAAGACCCCGUGAACCUUUACUAUAGCUUUGCACUGGACUUUGAAUUUGCUUGUGUAGGAUAGGUGGGAGGCUGUGAAGCGUGGACGCCAGUUCGCGUGGAGCCAACCUUGAAAUACCACCCUGGCAACUUUGAGGUUCUAACUCUGGUCCGUUAUCCGGAUCGAGGACAGUGUAUGGUGGGUAGUUUGACUGGGGCGGUCUCCUCCUAAAGAGUAACGGAGGAGUACGAAGGUGCGCUCAGCACGGUCGGAAAUCGUGCGUAGAGUAUAAAGGCAAAAGCGCGCUUGACUGCGAGACCAACACGUCGAGCAGGUACGAAAGUAGGUCUUAGUGAUCCGGUGGUUCUGUAUGGAAGGGCCAUCGCUCAACGGAUAAAAGGUACUCCGGGGAUAACAGGCUGAUACCGCCCAAGAGUUCAUAUCGACGGCGGUGUUUGGCACCUCGAUGUCGGCUCAUCACAUCCUGGGGCUGAAGCCGGUCCCAAGGGUAUGGCUGUUCGCCAUUUAAAGUGGUACGCGAGCUGGGUUUAGAACGUCGUGAGACAGUUCGGUCCCUAUCUGCCGUGGACGUUUGAGAUUUGAGAGGGGCUGCUCCUAGUACGAGAGGACCGGAGUGGACGAACCUCUGGUGUUCCGGUUGUCACGCCAGUGGCAUUGCCGGGUAGCUACGUUCGGAAAAGAUAACCGCUGAAAGCAUCUAAGCGGGAAACUUGCCUCAAGAUGAGAUCUCACCGGGGACUUGAUCCCCCUGAAGGGCCGUCGAAGACUACGACGUUGAUAGGCUGGGUGUGUAAGCGUUGUGAGGCGUUGAGCUAACCAGUACUAAUUGCCCGUGUGGCUUGACCAUAUAACGCCCAAACAAUUUGGGCCAUGGCCUGACACAUUGAUUGA
RNAcentral lists this ribosomal RNA (1441 nucleotides) under Halopseudomonas bauzanensis. RNAcentral's name for it is "bacterial LSU rRNA". It matches the Rfam family "Bacterial large subunit ribosomal RNA", at positions 1552 to 2925 of the family's 2925-position model. Lineage: Bacteria; Pseudomonadati; Pseudomonadota; Gammaproteobacteria; Pseudomonadales; Pseudomonadaceae. The record is from RNAcentral.